Corapipo altera (White-ruffed manakin) is the source of this 341-nucleotide long non-coding RNA. RefSeq lists it as uncharacterized. The transcript has 3 exons. The record is from RefSeq and is a predicted model, not a curated record. NCBI's taxonomy places the organism in Eukaryota, Metazoa, Chordata, Aves, Passeriformes, Pipridae.
CACAGAACAUCUACUUUUUCAUAACACAAUUUACUGCCUUAUGUUCUAAUUCAGAAUUUUUUUUCCUUUAAAUUUGGAAGCUCUUGUAAAAGGUCAUUUGUUCAGCUUCCUGUAUUACUCGUAGGAAGGCUUUAGGCUGUCAAGAAUCAGGAGUUAGUGGAUUGGAGCUUCUGCAACAGUUCCCAGUAUAAUCUUUAGAAAGGUUCAACUUUGCAGCAACAGGGGAAGGUAGCUGAAUAGAGAACAUGGUCAAAAGAAACCUAUUCAAGUCCAUUGGCAGGAAUAAUGUAAGUAAAGUCAUUACUAGCCACUUUAUUCUUAAUUUUUAAGUACAGCAACCC